RNAcentral lists this ribosomal RNA (466 nucleotides) under uncultured bacterium. RNAcentral describes it as "partial 16S ribosomal RNA". It matches the Rfam family "Bacterial small subunit ribosomal RNA", at positions 29 to 523 of the family's 1533-position model. The record is from RNAcentral.
AACGAACGCUGGCGGUAUGCUUAACACAUGCAAGUCGAACGAACAAAAUUGGGGCUUGCUCCAAUUUUAGUGAGUGGCAAACGGGUGAGUAACACGUGGGAAUCUACCUAUCAGUACGGAAUAACAUUUGGAAACAGAUGCUAAUACCGUAUAUUCUCCAAGGAGGAAAGAUUUAUCGCUGAUAGAUGAGCCCGCGCAAGAUUAGGUAGUUGGUAGGGUAAUGGCCUACCAAGCCGACGAUCUUUAGCUGGUCUGAGAGGAUGAUCAGCCAAACUGGGACUGGGACACGGCCCAGACUCCUACGGGAGGCAGCAGUGGGGAAUAUUGGACAAUGGGCGAAAGCCUGAUCCAGCAAUACCGCGUGAAUGAUGAAGGCCUUAGGGUUGUAAAGUUCUUUUAGUUGGAAAGAUAAUGACGGUACCAACAGAAAAAGCCCCGGCUAACUCCGUGCCAGCCGCCGCGGUAA